GGAAGGGAAUUUAUUUUUCCCAUUCAUUUUUCUUCUCCUUCCCGUAAACAUGCAUAAACCCCUCUUCCUCCAUCUUUUCUUUCUACCCCAAAAUUGCUUCAAAUUUCCAUCUCUAAUCAACUAUCCAUCUUCUCCCAACAUAUUUUCAAAGUAGAAUUUGAAGAAAAGAAGAGAAAUCAAGAGAAAAUUUAAGGUUGAAAGAGAGUGAAUAGUAACCAAGGGUUUGAAAAUUUAAAGGUAUGUUAGGGGUUUUUGUUGUAGGGAUAUUUCUUAUCAUUUUAUGUGAAUAUUUAUGAGAAAUAUUGUAUUAAUUUGAUUUAUUGGUGUAUUUUUUUUUCAUGAAGAAGAAGUGGAAGGGAAAGGAAAAGAAAAGGAAAAUUAGGGAAUUUUAAGCUUGAGGAAGAUCUUGGGAAGGUUUGUGCUCAACUCUAUUUUAAUAAAUUUAAGAAAUUGUUAUUUAUGUUCUAUUUGAAAUUUUAUUACCCUAGUAGAAAUAGACCAAGUGAACAAUAGCUUAAUUGUAUUUGUAUAAUCAAAGUUUGAGAAAUAAUAGAUUUCAUAGAUAGAAAAUUUUAAAAUUAAUAUAUAAUUUAACCAAAAUUUAAGUUAUGGAUAUAAUGAAAUGACUUUAUUUUCUCUGAUAGAAAAAUAAUUUGGUUAGAUAUAGUGACAAUAAAAAAAAAUAGUAGGCUAAAGAAAAAAAAGAAGAGAUAUUAGAUUAAAUGAAAAAAAAAAGAAAUUAAAGGAAUAAGAAAAAUAAAAAUAGGAAUUAUAAAGAAAAAUGAAAUAAGGUAUAUUGUGAUAAAUAGAAAAAAUAUAUAUUAGAUUAGAAAAUAAUAAUAAUAAUAAUAAAAAGAAUAAUAGUUAAUUAAUUAAGGAUUAAAUUAUGAAUUUGUAAUUUAUGUAGUUAAAUUAAAUUAAUAAAUUUAUAUGAUAUGACAAUGUUUAAAAGUAAUAUUUAAAAGCAGAGUUGUAAUAUGAUAAAAUAUUAUAGUUUGAAGAAUUGACAGUUACACUGUAUUGAUAAUUUUUGUCCCUCUGUUUAAAUGUAUAAAUUAUUCAAAGUCUGGCCCUAGUGAAUUUGAUGGGUAUUGUGAGUUAGUUUAAGGGUGUGGCAUGCCAUAUAUAGAUACUGCAGUACUGCACUACAGUUACACUGAUUUUUGGGAUACAAUGAGGUACCCUACAGUUAUAAACUCAGCUUUUGAGCCAUACAGUUAUUUGGCACUUUGUGCCCUACAGAUACAGUUUCCUUAUCUGACCUAACAGUCCCAUUUAAAUUUAUAGGGGCCGAAAGAAAAAUAAUAAAUAAAUAAAAGCAUUAAGAGAAAACAAAACUUUUUACAUGAAGAAAAAGAAAAAGACUAUGAAAGUAAAAUUUGUAUAUAUGUGAAAUAAUAAUAUGAUUUAGAAUUAUUUCAAAUUAUUUGUUAUAUAGUUUAUUGUUAUUUGUUUGAUUUAUUGUUGAUAAAUGAAUUUUGAUUUAAAUGUUUUAUUUAUAAAAAAAAAAAGUUGAGCAUCACUAAGCAAAUUGCUUAGCGUGUAGAAAUUUAUUUUUCCUCGCGCAGGCUGUAGAUUCAAGGAACAGUA
Molecule: long non-coding RNA, 1590 nt
Filed under: Manihot esculenta (cassava)
Lineage: Eukaryota; Viridiplantae; Streptophyta; Magnoliopsida; Malpighiales; Euphorbiaceae
Description: long non-coding RNA (MESC_LNC000275)
Source: RNAcentral